Nemania sp. FL0031 is the source of this 81-nucleotide non-coding RNA. Lineage: Eukaryota; Fungi; Ascomycota; Sordariomycetes; Xylariales; Xylariaceae. The record is from the annotation of a GenBank genome assembly.
GGCCUUAUGGGGUAGUGGUCUAGCCUAGCGUUGGAUUCCAUCUAGAAAUCGCAGACGUCGGUUCGAAUCCGACUAAGGUUA